Molecule: non-coding RNA, 233 nt
Filed under: Clostridium sp.
Lineage: Bacteria; Bacillati; Bacillota; Clostridia; Eubacteriales; Clostridiaceae
Description: T-box sequence
Rfam family: T-box leader
About the family: Uncharged tRNA acts as the effector for transcription antitermination of genes in the T-box leader family. T-boxes are found upstream of many aminoacyl-tRNA synthetase genes and some amino acid biosynthetic genes usually in Gram-positive bacteria. The anticodon of a specific tRNA base pairs to a specifier sequence within the T-box motif, and the NCCA acceptor tail of the tRNA base pairs to a conserved bulge in the T-box antiterminator hairpin.
Source: RNAcentral
AUAAAUCCGUUGAAAAGGGAUAGUAGUCAUGAGACAAUGUUAAAGAGAGCUGAAGAUGGUGAGAUUUCAGUACGGCAGUUAGUGAUGAAUGGGCCUUUGAGGAGCGAUAUGAAAUCUUUUGAGAGUAGUUUAGCCGUAAGUCGCACGUUAUAGCGAAUAAGAUAUGUUAGUAUCUGAAAUGAGAGGCAUUUUGUGCAAUUUAGGUGGCAACGCGGAUAAUCUCCGUCCUAUUU